AAGCAACAUAUUUAAAAAUUUAGACAGGAUAUUAAAAUUUAAAGAGUAACUUAAAAGACAAAAUUCUGUCUUUUAAAUUUGGGGUAGUCCAUAUUUAUCACUUAGAAUCCUGAUUGGCUGAAAUUUAAAACCUAUGUUACCAGCCUUUAUGUUAAUAGCCCUGAUUCCACAAAUAGUAAAUUUCUCCAUUAAAAAUAUUAAAAACUUUUGAGAAAUACUAUUGCCCAUACAUUUUCUGGCAUUACAUCUGGUACUUUUAUCAUAAUUAUAAAGAUGGUCAAGAGCAAAAA
Molecule: long non-coding RNA, 290 nt
Organism: Dipodomys spectabilis (banner-tailed kangaroo rat)
Lineage: Eukaryota; Metazoa; Chordata; Mammalia; Rodentia; Heteromyidae
Exons: 4
Source: RefSeq, a predicted model, not a curated record